CGUGCCGAACCCACAUUUAAGUACAGGAUCAGGAGAACAGCAAAGUUACCCCAGAAUUUUCUUGGGUGUUGAGAGGAGAACAGCGCCAGUCCAAGGUAAAACCAUGAGGAAGUCUCUCGCAAUUCUGUUGAUCGUGGCCCUGACUGUGGCCAUGAUGUCCGACGGUGCUGAGAGUUGGGGCUCGGGCCGUCGUCGUCGUCGUCGCAAGUCGCUUCACGAGUAUGCCGGCGCAGCUGACCGCCAAGAGCGAGCUGUGCCAGCAGGUGAUGAACAAAUCAAGGAUGAUCAGAUCCACCAGCUCUUGGACGGAGCGCCCUAAGGAUGCUGUUCAUCCACAGCUACAAGCACUGGACCAGCUGUCACCGUGACACGUCGUGAACAUCGUUCAUUGUCCAGUAAUUUUUAACUGUCUAAAUUGUUGAUAUUAAAUCUCAGCAUGAAUGAAAA
This is a long non-coding RNA of Branchiostoma floridae (Florida lancelet), 447 nucleotides long. RefSeq lists it as uncharacterized. The transcript has 4 exons. Lineage: Eukaryota; Metazoa; Chordata; Leptocardii; Amphioxiformes; Branchiostomatidae. The record is from RefSeq and is a predicted model, not a curated record.